CUCUAUAGAGGUUGGUUGCAUGAUCGUUUCAAGCCUGGGUCUUCCAAGGUGUUUUGAACUUCAGCUCCCAGAAUUCUCCAUCGUUGGUGAAGACGGCCGAGGCUUCUGGGAAAUGAAGUCCAAGAAAGGGUUGGCCGCCUAGAGGUUGGGAAUCGCAGGCUCUGGUUCAGGCAUGGGCAAACCUGGGCCCUCCAGGUGUUUUGGACUUCAACUCCCACAAUUCCUAACAGCCUGGAGGGCCCAAGUUUGCCCAUGCCUGGUGUAGAUGCACCCAUACUGGAGAGUCCAGACAGAUUCAUACUGAGAGAUAUAAUCUGCCAGGUAGUAAGGUAAAGGUUUCCUCUGACGUUAAGUCCAGUCAUGUCAGACUCUGGGGGUUGGUGCUCAUCUCCAAUUUCUAAGCCGAAGAGCCGGCGUUGUCCGUUGACACCUCCAAGGUCAUGUGGCUGGCAUGACUGCAUGGAGUGCCGUUACCUUCCCGCCGGAGCGGUACCUAUUGAUCUACUCACAUUGGCAUGUUUUCGAACUGCUAGGUUGGCUGGAGCUAACAGCGGCCGCUCCCGCCGCUCCCGGGGUUUGAACCUGGGAUUUUUCGGUCUGCAAGUUCAGCAGCUCAGUGCUUUAACCCACUUCGUCACGGGGGCCAUAUGAUAUGCCAGGUAGCUAUAUGAUAAUAAUAAUAAUGAUAAUUUAUAUUUUGCUUUUUUCCUUCAUGGGACCCAAAGAGGCUUACAACAUAUUAAAAUCAGUGCAAUUCUAGCUGGCCAAACAAUUAUUCCCCUACAAAGGAAGUAGCCAGGCUUCAAAGCGGUUCUUUGAUUGAGGGUGCUACUCCAGCUCGCCAAACAAGCAUUCCCCGAGUUAUAACACAGCCAGGCAUUGAAGCUGCAAGGCUAUUCAGUGCAAUUCAACCAGACCAUCAAAGGAUUAACCUUGGUAGAAGGCAGCCAGGCGUUGAAGCAGCGAGGCUAUUCAUUGCAAUUCUAGCAGCCCAAAAAAACCAUUACCCUAGAACACACGUACCCAGCCUCUUAAGCAGCAAGCCUAUUCCAUUGUAUAACAGCUCACCAAACAAGGAUUCAUAUAAGAAGAAAAUGGGCAGACUUCGAGGCUGCAAGGCUAUUCCACCUGGCCAACAAAUGAUUCCCAUAAGCCACAACAACGCAUGGCCGGGCAUAGCUAGUAUUUUAUAGAAAUGCAGUUUUAAGGUGAUUUUUUAAUAGAAAUAUGUAUAUUUGUUGAAUAUUUGCAAUGUUUAUAUUUUUUAAUUGUGUGGUAACCCACCUUGAGCCGCAGGGAGAGCCAGGUAAGAAAUGAAAAAUAUAUUAUUGUUAUAGUUCACAGCUUCUGGUAUUCAAUAUGUUGCCAGUUUUAGAAGAUUUUAAUAUUUACUUCAGCAUUUACCUUUGCCAUUUUAGCAUAUAAAUGUUUUAUACAGUUUUAACUACCAUAUUCAAUACUGUGUUUUAACCUUGUUCUUCACUGUGUUUCUUAAUAUCUAAUUGUAUACGUUUCUAUGCUAUUCUGAUGCUUGUACAUUUUCUGUUGCUGGUCAUCGACUGUAAUAAAUAAUUACAGAAUAGUUCACAGCAUCUGCUAUUCAUUAGCAGUCUCCUAUCCAAAUAUUAACAAGUGGCGAUUUUGCAUAGUUUCCAAGAUCAGAUGGAAUUUGGUCCUUUAAGGGGUUUAGGGUAGAGGAGUCUGUAGCUAUCUUAAUGUUGAACUCAAAAAUCCUAUUAGUUUGAUGCAGUGUGUAAGAUCAUUGGGAAUUAUGACAGCUGUAGUCCAAGAUAAUAUGGAAGGCUGCAAAUUAUUCACCCCUAUACCAAUAUUACCAGUACCAACUCAUGUAAUGAAAAGUCCAUUUACCAAAACAAGGAUGAAAAUAGGGUUGGGUUCAAUAGCAGCAGAUACGUUUCCUUGGAUUGUGAGCUUUCACCAAAUAAAAAAAUGGAUGGGAACAAAAAACACAGUCAAAAAGUAAUUGAGAGAUUCAGACAAGACCUGAAACACUGAGGGUUACAUCCAAUGUGUAAUGCUGUUCUAGUAGGUAUGGUAUUGUUAAUAGUUAUAGAAUUGGUCCUACCGUGUUUCCCCGAAAAUAAGACAGUGUCUUAUAUUAAUUUUUGCUCCCAAAGAUGUGCUAGGUCUUAUUUUCAGGGGAUGUCUUAUUUUUCCAUGAAGAAGAAUUCACAUUUAUUGUUGAACAAAAAAAUGAGCAUUUAUUAUAUACUGUACAGUAGUUGUCAUCACAAACCAGCAUAACCAGACAAACUGCGAAUCCUAUCAAGAAUUUCUUGUUACUACCAUUAUUUCCAUGUACAACUGGUAUGUACAUUUACCAAUCCUGCAUGCUCUGGUGUUCUAUUUGGCAGGCACUGGGCAUGCUUCCAAACAAAAACUUUGCUAGGUCUUACUUUCGGGGGAGGCCUUAUAUUUAGCAAUUCAGCAAAACGUCUACUAGGUCUUAUUUUUCGGGGAUGUCUUAUUUUCGGGGAAACAGGGUAUUCUAGGACACAAUACUAAUCCAUUUCCUCAAUAUCCAUAAUUUUACUGAUAAUUGUGAUACUGCAUGAGCAUGAGUUUAUUUUUCUGGAAUACUGCAGCAUGGUUUACUUUUCUUAAGGCCAUUUGGCAUUUUUUAUUGUGUCAGAAGCAAAUAUACUGCAAGUCACUUCUGGUAUGAAAAGAAUCGGCCGUCUACAAGCACGUUGCCCAUGGGACGCCUAGGUAUGUUACCAUCCUGCUGGGAGGAUGUCAUGUCCCUACAUGAGAAGCUAGGACUGACAGAAGAGAGCUCACCCCAUCUUGCGGAUAUGAACUGCUGCUUCAGGAAAUUCCACUGGAUCAACAUUCCUUGCAGCAGUAGAAGACCCUUUGAUUAGUAGAGUGGCAAGAGUGGAUCAAACCCAUGAAAACUGUAAUUAAAAUUGUGAAUGUUCACAAAGACAUAGUGUAGUUGAAAAAGAUGAACCACAACAUUAAUGUAAAUAAACUGUCUCUGUAGUUUGCCUCCUUUUUAUAUACGAGUGCCUGUAUGUGACAGAACUAGAGAAUCAGAUAAAAAAAAAUAUUCACACCGAAAAUAAUUUUAUUUUGAUAGAAGUCUGAUAUUACAUUAGGUAAGUACAAAUUAGAUUUUUAAAAAUCUAACCAUUAAACCUACAGUUAAAUGACAUAUUUCUUGUUAAGAUGCCAGUCUUAAUUUCAUAGAAUUUCAUUUGCAGGGUGUCUGUUAUAAACUGGUAAAGCAUGAUUCACAAAUAGAUCUCUCAUCCUAUCAGCCCUUCCAAAACGAACACUGAAGCCCCUUCCAGUUUAAGAGCUUCCAUGAGACAUAUCUGACAGUUCAAUUUCUAAGCACACUUACUUAAAAAUAACUUAUUGCCAAUGUUACUCACUGUCAAGUUAAGCUUGUAGAGUCUGACAUGUUUUAUGAAAUCCCAACAAAUUAGUAGUCACUAUCAGAUAGUCAUCUUUUGGCAGCAAUUGUUCUGAAAACAUAAUUGGUCUGUAGGGCAUUGGUAUUUUUUUUCCAAUGUAUUAAGUGCAGAAAUGAUUCUGUUUAUCUUAAUGUUCUUGGGAAUACACAUUGCACAUGGAAAUUCCUUUCUUGUAAAAACUAGGAAGUCUUUUCUCACAGCGCACACAUUUUUGGAAUAUAUUUUAUUGAGAAAACAUAUUAUGGUUUUAAAAAGGUUAAACAUGAAGAGCUGCAUCAACCAUUUCAGUCUAAUGAGUUGGCUUCUCCAUCAACUAUACGAGAUAAAAAUGUUAUGUUUCCACAAAACUGCAUCAAAGACCAUUAAAGUUUUUAAACUGUGGACUA
Anolis carolinensis (green anole) is the source of this 3829-nucleotide long non-coding RNA. RefSeq lists it as uncharacterized. Lineage: Eukaryota; Metazoa; Chordata; Lepidosauria; Squamata; Anolidae. The record is from RefSeq and is a predicted model, not a curated record. The transcript has 2 exons.